This 1107-nucleotide long non-coding RNA is filed under the name Androctonus crassicauda. The record is from RNAcentral. Lineage: Eukaryota; Metazoa; Arthropoda; Arachnida; Scorpiones; Buthidae.
GAGGGGGUUGUUUCGCCCCGCCACUUAGUAUUCUAAUAGAAUGGAAAGUGGCAUCAUCUGUUAACAAAAAAAAAACAAAACUAUCCAAGUUUCAUAUCUAUAACUCAUAUUUAUAGACAUUUAUAUAAUACAUUUAUGAAAUUUUCUAACUUGUAAGUUUCAUGUUUAAACUUGACGGGGUUUGUUAAAAACAAUUCUAAUAACUCGAAAAAAGUUCUAAGAACCUCUUUGAAUGAUAGUUUCAUGGCAAAGCAAAAAUAUGUUUAAGUAAAUAAAAGAUACUGCAAACAAAAACUUUAUUAAUAAACUGUAGUGUCCAUUGAUAGCCAGCCUAAAAACAAAUGUUUCUGCAACUGAGAACUAUUUCUGCUGCUUUGUAAUUAUUUUUCACAAACUCGUGAUAGUUUUCAAGAAUUCCCUUAAUGAAGGCAAAGAACAAAAGUAGUAAGUAAAUAAAAGACUGCAGAGUCUUUAUUAGUAACCGUAGUGUCCUUCGGUAUAGAAAUCCCUACCGUUAGCAUGUCGAACUUCGGUCGGUGUAUCUUUACACAGAUUCUUACAUGCACUAUGAAAGCAUUUGCCGAUUCCCGUAGACUGCAUAUUGAAAUAUAGAACUAGUGUCGCAUCUAACUACCACUAGGCUAUAACCUGUUGAUAUUCGGCAGAAGCAGCGAACGAAUUAUUGGCCAACGGCUGAAUAACUCCGAUGUACAGAUCCGACUGGCACACAGUACAAUCGGAUCUGUACAUCGGACUCUCCUAUGUCACCAAUUUGGUGCCAUACGAGAGUCCUCCUUUUCGAUCUUGAAGUUAUAUUCCAAAGUGUUGGUACCCUUCCAAUUAUGAGUGCGAAAGAAAUUCAUGUCGAUCUGUCUAAUCACCUGUCUGUUGGCAAAAAACUCAACAGUGACAAUAUAACUUACAAACUGACUUGUGAGUAUAAUAAUAAUUUAUAUAAAUUUUUAUUGUUUACCUAGUUGUUUAAUAUUCAACAAUCAUACAGAUGCAAAGGAGCGUUUUUUUUUUUUUUUUUUGUUGAAGAUGAUAACGUUUUAUUGAUUGCAGUAUGUGAUGAACAUGGCAGACGAUGACCCGAGAAGAAUGGAC